RNAcentral lists this ribosomal RNA (462 nucleotides) under Vreelandella stevensii. RNAcentral's name for it is "partial 16S ribosomal RNA". It matches the Rfam family "Bacterial small subunit ribosomal RNA", at positions 338 to 795 of the family's 1533-position model. The record is from RNAcentral. Lineage: Bacteria; Pseudomonadati; Pseudomonadota; Gammaproteobacteria; Oceanospirillales; Halomonadaceae.
CCUACGGGAGGCUGCAGUGGGGAAUAUUGGACAAUGGGGGCAACCCUGAUCCAGCCAUGCCGCGUGUGUGAAGAAGGCCCUCGGGUUGUAAAGCACUUUCAGUGAGGAAGAACGCCUGGUGGUUAAUACCCAUCAGGAAAGACAUCACUCACAGAAGAAGCACCGGCUAACUCCGUGCCAGCAGCGGUAAUACGGAGGGUGCGAGCGUUAAUCGGAAUUACUGGGCGUAAAGCGCGCGUAGGUGGCUUGAUAAGCCGGUUGUGAAAGCCCCGGGCUCAACCUGGGAACGGCAUCCGGAACUGUCAAGCUAGAGUGCAGGAGAGGAAGGUAGAAUUCCCGGUGUAGCGGUGAAAUGCGUAGAGAUCGGGAGGAAUACCAGUGGCGAAGGCGGCCUUCUGGACUGACACUGACACUGAGGUGCGAAAGCGUGGGUAGCAAACAGGAUUAGAUACCCGUGUAGUC